GAUGAACGCUAGCGGCAGGCUUAACACAUGCAAGUCGAGGGGCAGCACGUCUUCGGAUGGUGGCGACCGGCGCACGGGUGCGUAACGCGUAUAGAACCUACCUUUUACAGGGGAAUAGCCCAGAGAAAUUUGGAUUAAUGCCCCAUAGUAUUAUUAGAUGGCAUCAUUUGAUAAUUAAACAUUUAUGGGUAAAAGAUGGCUAUGCGUUCUAUUAGCUAGAUGGUAAGGUAACGGCUUACCAUGGCGACGAUAGAUAGGGGUCCUGAGAGGGAGAUCCCCCACACUGGUACUGAGACACGGACCAGACUCCUACGGGAGGCAGCAGUGAGGAAUAUUGGACAAUGGGCGAGAGCCUGAUCCAGCCAUGCCGCGUGCAGGAAGACGGUCCUAUGGGUUGUAAACUACUUUUAUUAGGGAAGAAAAACUUUGAUUUAUCAGAGCUUGACGGUACCUAAGGAAUAAGCACCGGCUAACUCCGUGCCAGCAGCCGCGGU
RNAcentral lists this ribosomal RNA (494 nucleotides) under uncultured bacterium. RNAcentral describes it as "bacterial SSU rRNA". It matches the Rfam family "Bacterial small subunit ribosomal RNA", at positions 28 to 521 of the family's 1533-position model. The record is from RNAcentral.